This 74-nucleotide transfer RNA is filed under the name Alosa alosa (allis shad). RNAcentral describes it as "tRNA-OTHER". The record is from RNAcentral. Lineage: Eukaryota; Metazoa; Chordata; Actinopteri; Clupeiformes; Clupeidae.
GCAGCCGUGGCCUACUGGUUAGGGCUUCGGGCUUGGAACUGGAGGGUUGCCGGUUCAAUCCCCGCCCAGUAGGA